AUGAACGCUGGCGGCGUGCCUAAUACAUGCAAGUCGAGCGAACAGACGAGGAGCUUGCUCCUCUGACGUUAGCGGCGGACGGGUGAGUAACACGUGGAUAACCUACCUAUAAGACUGGGAUAACUUCGGGAAACCGGAGCUAAUACCGGAUAAUAUAUUGAACCGCAUGGUUCAAUAGUGAAAGACGGUUUUGCUGUCACUUAUAGAUGGAUCCGCGCCGCAUUAGCUAGUUGGUAAGGUAACGGCUUACCAAGGCGACGAUGCGUAGCCGACCUGAGAGGGUGAUCGGCCACCCUGGAACUGAGCCACGGUCCAGACUCCUACGGGAGGCAGCAGUAGGGAAUCUUCCGCAAUGGGCGAAAGCCUGACGGAGCAACGCCGCGUGAGUGAUGAAGGUCUUCGGAUCGUAAAACUCUGUUAUUAGGGAAGAACAAAUGUGUAAGUAACUAUGCACGUCUUGACGGUACCUAAUCAGAAAGCCACGGCUAACUACGUG
Molecule: ribosomal RNA, 496 nt
Filed under: uncultured bacterium
Lineage: Bacteria
Description: partial 16S ribosomal RNA
Rfam family: Bacterial small subunit ribosomal RNA
Source: RNAcentral